GGGUAACACUAAAAAGCUAAGGUGUUACCUGUUCCAAUCUUUCUAUAGAAGUUUUUGUAGUUCCUUGCUUUUAGUGCUUAAGUGAGUCUUGCAGGUCACAUAUCUCCAAAGACAUGG
RNAcentral lists this small nucleolar RNA (117 nucleotides) under Theobroma cacao (cacao). Its description in RNAcentral is "Small nucleolar RNA snoR104". It matches the Rfam family "Small nucleolar RNA snoR104". The record is from Rfam by way of RNAcentral. Lineage: Eukaryota; Viridiplantae; Streptophyta; Magnoliopsida; Malvales; Malvaceae.